AGUCGAGCGGACAGAUGGGAGCUUGCUCCCUGAUGUUAGCGGCGGACGGGUGAGUAACACGUGGGUAACCUGCCUGUAAGACUGGGAUAACUCCGGGAAACCGGGGCUAAUACCGGAUGGUUGUUUGAACCGCAUGGUUCAAACAUAAAAGGUGGCUUCGGCUACCACUUACAGAUGGACCCGCGGCGCAUUAGCUAGUUGGUGAGGUAACGGCUCACCAAGGCGACGAUGCGUAGCCGACCUGAGAGGGUGAUCGGCCACACUGGGACUGAGACACGGCCCAGACUCCUACGGGAGGCAGCAGUAGGGAAUCUUCCGCAAUGGACGAAAGUCUGACGGAGCAACGCCGCGUGAGUGAUGAAGGUUUUCGGAUCGUAAAGCUCUGUUGUUAGGGAAGAACAAGUACCGUUCGAAUAGGGCGGUACCUUGACGGUACCUAACCAGAAAGCCACGGCUAACUACGUGCCAGCAGCCGCGGUAAUACGUAGGUGGCAAGCGUUGUCCGGAAUUAUUGGGCGUAAAGGGCUCGCAGGCGGUUUCUUAAGUCUGAUGUGAAAGCCCCCGGCUCAACCGGGGAGGGUCAUUGGAAACUGGGGAACUUGAGUGCAGAAGAGGAGAGUGGAAUUCCACGUGUAGCGGUGAAAUGCGUAGAGAUGUGGAGGAACACCAGUGGCGAAGGCGACUCUCUGGUCUGUAACUGACGCUGAGGAGCGAAAGCGUGGGGAGCGAACAGGAUUAGAUACCCUGGUAGUCCACGCCGUAAACGAUGAGUGCUAAGUGUUAGGGGGUUUCCGCCCCUUAGUGCUGCAGCUAACGCAUUAAGCACUCCGCCUGGGGAGUACGGUCGCAAGACUGAAACUCAAAGGAAUUGACGGGGGCCCGCACAAGCGGUGGARCAUGUGGUUUAAUUCGAAGCAACGCGAAGAACCUUACCAGGUCUUGACAUCCUCUGACAAUCCUAGAGAUAGGACGUCCCCUUCGGGGGCAGAGUGACAGGUGGUGCAUGGUUGUCGUCAGCUCGUGUCGUGAGAUGUUGGGUUAAGUCCCGCAACGAGCGCAACCCUUGAUCUUAGUUGCCAGCAUUCAGUUGGGCACUCUAAGGUGACUGCCGGUGACAAACCGGAGGAAGGUGGGGAUGACGUCAAAUCAUCAUGCCCCUUAUGACCUGGGCUACACACGUGCUACAAUGGACAGAACAAAGGGCAGCGAAACCGCGAGGUUAAGCCAAUCCCACAAAUCUGUUCUCAGUUCGGAUCGCAGUCUGCAACUCGACUGCGUGAAGCUGGAAUCGCUAGUAAUCGCGGAUCAGCAUGCCGCGGUGAAUACGUUCCCGGGCCUUGUACACACCGCCCGUCACACCACGAGAGUUUGUAACACCCGAAGUCGGUGAGGUAACCUUUUAGGAGCCAGCCGCCGAAGGUGGAACA
RNAcentral lists this ribosomal RNA (1427 nucleotides) under Bacillus subtilis subsp. subtilis. RNAcentral's name for it is "bacterial SSU rRNA". It matches the Rfam family "Bacterial small subunit ribosomal RNA". The record is from RNAcentral. Lineage: Bacteria; Bacillati; Bacillota; Bacilli; Caryophanales; Bacillaceae.